Molecule: ribosomal RNA, 292 nt
Filed under: uncultured bacterium
Lineage: Bacteria
Description: partial 16S ribosomal RNA
Rfam family: Bacterial small subunit ribosomal RNA
Source: RNAcentral
GUGCCAGCAGCCGCGGUAAUACGUAGGGGGCAAGCGUUGUCCGGAUUUAUUGGGCGUAAAGAGCGUGUAGGCGGCUAGAUAGGUCCGUUGUGAAAACUCGAGGCUCAACCUCGAGACGCCGGUGGAAACCAUCUAGCUAGAGUCCGGAAGAGGAGAGUGGAAUUCCUGGUGUAGCGGUGAAAUGCGCAGAUAUCAGGAAGAACACCCGUGGCGAAGGCGGCUCUCUGGUACGUGACUGACGCUGAGACGCGAAAGCGUGGGGAGCGAACAGGAUUAGAAACCCCCGUAGUCC